This 923-nucleotide ribosomal RNA is filed under the name uncultured bacterium. Its description in RNAcentral is "bacterial SSU rRNA". It matches the Rfam family "Bacterial small subunit ribosomal RNA", at positions 396 to 1324 of the family's 1533-position model. The record is from RNAcentral.
GCCGCGUGCAGGAUGACAGCCUAUGGGUCGUAAACUGCUUUUGUACGGGAAUAAACCCUUCUACGUGUAGAAGGCUGAAGGUACCGUAAGAAUAAGGAUCGGCUAACUCCGUGCCAGCAGCCGCGGUAAUACGGAGGAUCCAAGCGUUAUCCGGAUUCAUUGGGUUUAAAGGGUGCGUAGGCGGAUUUGUAAGUCAGGGGUGAAAGCCAACAGCUUAACUGUUGAAUUGCCCUUGAUACUGCCAAUCUUGAGUAUAUUUGAAGUGGGCGGAAUGUGUCAUGUAGCGGUGAAAUGCAUAGAUAUGACACAGAACACCGAUUGCGUAGGCAGCUCACUAAACUAUAACUGACGCUGAGGCACGAAAGCGUGGGGAUCAAACAGGAUUAGAUACCCUGGUAGUCCACGCCGUAAACUAUGAUUACUCGAUGUUGGCGAUACACAGUCAGCGUCUAAGCGAAAGCGUUAAGUAAUCCACCUGGGGAGUACGGUCGCAAGAUUGAAACUCAAAGGAAUUGACGGGGGCCCGCACAAGCGGAGGAGCAUGUGGUUUAAUUCGAUGAUACGCGAGGAACCUUACCAGGGCUUGAAAGUUAGUGACCGACCCUGAAAGGGGUCUUUCAGCAAUGACACAAAACUAGGUGCUGCAUGGCUGUCGUCAGCUCGUGCCGUGAGGUGUUGGGUUAAGUCCCGCAACGAGCGCAACCCCUAUCUUUAGUUGCCAGCGGGUAAUGUCGGGGACUCUAAAGAAACUGCCCGCGUAAGCGUGAGGAAGGUGGGGAUGACGUCAAGUCAGCACGGCCCUUACGUCCUGGGCUACACACGUGCUACAAUGGUCGAUACAAAGGGCAGCUACAUGGUGACAUGAUGCAAAUCUCUAAAGUCGAUCUCAGUUCGGAUCGAAGUCUGCAACUCGACUUCGUGAA